CCUCCUUCAUGUCCCUAUGUACCCAAGCUAAAUGCCACCUACUCUCUCAAUCCACAUUUCUGCCUCUGCCGUCCCCCAGGACCCCUUGCUCUGGGGGAAGCCACACCAUGAGCAGUCCUAGGGAGAUGCUCACACGAUGAGGAGCUGAAUCUUCCUGACAACAGUAGAGUGAGCUUGGAAGCAAAUCCAUCAGCCCCCAGCAAGUCUUCACAGACUGGUCUCACCCUAUGUCUUGAUUGAAGCCUCAUGAAAGACCCUGAGCCAGAACCACCAGCCAAGCCACUCCCAGGUUCCUGGCCCUCAGAAACUGUGUGAGAUAAUAAAUAUUUCUUGUUUAAGCGCA
Long non-coding RNA from Neofelis nebulosa (Clouded leopard), 343 nucleotides. RefSeq lists it as uncharacterized. The record is from RefSeq and is a predicted model, not a curated record. The transcript is spliced from 2 exons. NCBI's taxonomy places the organism in Eukaryota, Metazoa, Chordata, Mammalia, Carnivora, Felidae.